This 492-nucleotide ribosomal RNA is filed under the name uncultured bacterium. RNAcentral describes it as "partial 16S ribosomal RNA". It matches the Rfam family "Bacterial small subunit ribosomal RNA", at positions 29 to 507 of the family's 1533-position model. The record is from RNAcentral.
AGUGAACGCUGGCGGUAGGCCUAACACAUGCAAGUCGAACGGCAGCACAGUAAGAGCUUGCUCUUACGGGUGGCGAGUGGCGGACGGGUGAGGAAUACAUCGGAAUCUACUUUUUCGUGGGGGAUAACGUAGGGAAACUUACGCUAAUACCGCAUACGACCUACGGGUGAAAGCAGUGGAUCUUCGGACCUUGCGCGAUUGAAUGAGCCGAUGUCGGAUUAGCUAGUUGGCGUGGUAAAGGCCCACCAAGGCGACGAUCCGUAGCUGGUCUGAGAGGAUGAUCAGCCACACUGGAACUGAGACACGGUCCAGACUCCUACGGGAGGCAGCAGUGGGGAAUAUUGGACAAUGGGCGCAAGCCUGAUCCAGCCAUACCGCGUGGGUGAAGAAGGCCUUCGGGUUGUAAAGCCCUUUUAUUGGGAAAGAAAAGCAGCAGGUUAAUACCCCGCUGUUCUGACGGUACCCAAAGAAUAAGCACCGGCUAACUUCGUG